Molecule: ribosomal RNA, 500 nt
Filed under: uncultured bacterium
Lineage: Bacteria
Description: partial 16S ribosomal RNA
Rfam family: Bacterial small subunit ribosomal RNA
Source: RNAcentral
AUUGAACGCUGGCGGAAUGCUUUACACAUGCAAGUCGAACGGCAGCACGGACUUCGGUCUGGUGGCGAGUGGCGAACGGGUGAGUAAUGUAUCGGAACGUGCCCAGUCGUGGGGGAUAACGUAGCGAAAAUUACGCUAAUACCGCAUACGAUCUAUGGAUGAAAGCGGGGGAUCGCAAGACCUCGCGCGAUUGGAGCGGCCGAUAUCAGAUUAGGUAGUUGGUGGGGUAAAGGCCCACCAAGCCAACGAUCUGUAGCUGGUCUGAGAGGACGACCAGCCACACUGGAUCUGAGACACGGUCCAGACUCCUACGGGAGGCAGCAGUGGGGAAUUUUGGACAAUGGGCGAAAGCCUGAUCCAGCCAUUCCGCGUGCAGGAUGAAGGCCCUCGGGUUGUAAACUGCUUUUGUACAGAACGAAAAGGUUUCUACUAAUACUAGGAGCUCAUGACGGUACUGUAAGAAUAAGCACCGGCUAACUACGUGCCAGCCGCCGCAGUAA